GGGGAAUAUUGCACAAUGGGGGAAACCCUGAUGCAGCGACGCCGCGUGAGUGAAGAAGUACUUCGGUAUGUAAAGCUCUAUCAGCAGGGAAGAAGAUGACGGUACCUGACUAAGAAGCCCCGGCUAACUACGUGCCAGCAGCCGCGGUAAUACGUAGGGGGCAAGCGUUAUCCGGAUUUACUGGGUGUAAAGGGAGCGUAGGUGGUGAGGCAAGUCAGAUGUGAAACCCCGGGGCUCAACCCCGGGACUGCAUUUGAAACUGUCUUGCUAGAGUGCAGGAGAGGUAAGUGGAAUUCCUAGUGUAGCGGUGAAAUGCGUAGAUAUUAGGAGGAACACCAGUGGCGAAGGCGGCUUACUGGACUGUAACUGACACUGAGGCUCGAAAGCGUGGGGAGCAAAC
This 400-nucleotide ribosomal RNA is filed under the name uncultured bacterium. RNAcentral's name for it is "bacterial SSU rRNA". It matches the Rfam family "Bacterial small subunit ribosomal RNA", at positions 356 to 773 of the family's 1533-position model. The record is from RNAcentral.